Molecule: ribosomal RNA, 464 nt
Filed under: Vreelandella stevensii
Lineage: Bacteria; Pseudomonadati; Pseudomonadota; Gammaproteobacteria; Oceanospirillales; Halomonadaceae
Description: partial 16S ribosomal RNA
Rfam family: Bacterial small subunit ribosomal RNA
Source: RNAcentral
CCUACGGGUGGCAGCAGUGGGGAAUAUUGGACAAUGGGCGAAAGCCUGAUCCAGCCAUGCCGCGUGUGUGAAGAAGGCCUUCGGGUUGUAAAGCACUUUCAGUGGGGAAGAAAGCCUUGGGGCUAAUACCCUCGAGGAAGGACAUCACCCACAGAAGAAGCACCGGCUAACUCCGUGCCAGCAGCCGCGGUAAUACGGAGGGUGCGAGCGUUAAUCGGAAUUACUGGGCGUAAAGCGCGCGUAGGCGGUCUGAUAAGCCGGUUGUGAAAGCCCCGGGCUCAACCUGGGAACGGCAUCCGGAACGGUCAGGCUAGAGUGCAGGAGAGGAAGGUAGAAUUCCCGGUGUAGCGGUGAAAUGCGUAGAGAUCGGGAGGAAUACCAGUGGCGAAGGCGGCCUUCUGGACUGACACUGACGCUGAGGUGCGAAAGCGUGGGUAGCAAACAGGAUUAAUACCCUGGUAGUC